Molecule: ribosomal RNA, 942 nt
Filed under: Thaxterogaster alboaggregatus
Lineage: Eukaryota; Fungi; Basidiomycota; Agaricomycetes; Agaricales; Cortinariaceae
Description: Cortinarius alboaggregatus partial large subunit ribosomal RNA
Rfam family: Eukaryotic large subunit ribosomal RNA
Source: RNAcentral
CAUAUUUAUAAGCGGAGGAAAAGAAACUAACAAGGGAUUCCCCUAGUAACUGCGAGUGAAGCGGGAAAAAGCUCAAAUUUUAAAUCUGGCAGUCUCUUUUGGCUGUCCGAGUUGUAAUCUAGAGAAGUGUUAUCCGCGCUGGACCGUGUACAAGUCUCCUGGAAUGGAGCAUCAUAGAGGGUGAGAAUCCCGUCUUUGACAUGGACUGCCAGGGCUUUUGUGAUGCGCUCUCAAAGAGUCGAGUUGUUUGGGAAUGCAGCUCAAAAUGGGUGGUAAAUUCCAUCUAAAGCUAAAUAUUGGCGAGAGACCGAUAGCGAACAAGUACCGUGAGGGAAAGAUGAAAAGAACUUUGGAAAGAGAGUUAAACCGUACGUGAAAUUGCUGAAAGGGAAACGCUUGAAGUCCAGUCGCGUUGUCCAGGGAUCAACCCUUGCUUUUGCUUGGUGUACUUCCUGUUUGACGGGUCAGCAUCAAUUUUGACUAUUGGAUAAAUGUCAGGUGGAAUGUGGCAUCUUAGGAUGUGUUUAUAGCCCUUGAUAGUAUACAAUAGUUGGGAUUGAGGAACUCAGCACGCCGUCAAGGCCGGGUUUGUGAAAACCACGUACGUGCUUAGGAUGCUGGCAUAAUGGCUUUAAUCGACCCGUCUUGAAACACGGACCAAGGAGUCUAACAUGCAUGCGAGUGUUUGGGUGGAAAACCCUUGCGCGUAAUGAAAGUGAAAGUUGAGAUCCCUGUCGUAGGGAGCAUCGACGCCCAGACCAGACCUUUUUGUGACGGUUCUGCGGUAGAGCAUGUAUGUUGGGACCCGAAAGAUGGUGAACUAUGCCUGAAUAGGGUGAAGCCAGAGGAAACUCUGGUGGAAGCUCGUAGCGAUUCUGACGUGCAAAUCGAUCGUCAAAUUGGUAUAGGGGCGAAAGACUAAUCGAAUCAUCUAGUAGCUGG